ACGAACGCUGGCGGCGUGCUUAACUCCUGCAAGUCGAACGGAAAGGCCCUGCUUUUGUGGGGUGCUCGAGUGGCGAACGGGUGAGUAACACGUGAGUAACCUGCCCUUGACUUUGGGAUAACUUCAGGAAACUGGGGCUAAUACCGGAUAGGAGCUCCUGCUGCAUGGUGGGGGUUGGAAAGUUUCGGCGGUUGGGGAUGGACUCGCGGCUUAUCAGCUUGUUGGUGGGGUAGUGGCUUACCAAGGCUUUGACGGGUAGCCGGCCUGAGAGGGUGACCGGCCACAUUGGGACUGAGAUACGGCCCAGACUCCUACGGGAGGCAGCAGUGGGGAAUAUUGCACAAUGGGCGGAAGCCUGAUGCAGCAACGCCGCGUGCGGGAUGACGGCCUUCGGGUUGUAAACCGCUUUCGCCUGUGACGAAGCGUGAGUGACGGUAAUGGGUAAAGAAGCACCGGCUAACUACGUG
This 467-nucleotide ribosomal RNA is filed under the name uncultured bacterium. RNAcentral describes it as "partial 16S ribosomal RNA". It matches the Rfam family "Bacterial small subunit ribosomal RNA", at positions 29 to 507 of the family's 1533-position model. The record is from RNAcentral.